AUGGCUCAGGAUGAACGCUGGCGGCGUGCCUAACACAUGCAAGUCGAGCGGAGUUAGGGGAAGCGGAUUCGUCCAACGGAACCUAAACUUAGCGGCGGAUGGGUGAGGAACGCGUGGAUAACCUACCGUGCACAGGGGGAUAACAGUUGGAAACGACUGUUAAUACCGCAUAUGCUCACAGUACCGCAUGGUACAGGGAGGAAAGAUUUAUCGGUGCAUGAUGGAUCCGCGUCGGAUUAGCCGGUUGGCGGGGUAACGGCCCACCAAAGCGAUGAUCCGUAGCCGGCCUGAGAGGGCGACCGGCCACAUUGGGACUGAGACACGGCCCAAACUCCUACGGGAGGCAGCAGUGGGGGAUAUUGCACAAUGGGGGAAACCCUGAUUGCAGCGACGCCGCGUGAAGGAAGAAGUAUUUCGGUAUGUAAACUUCUAUCAGCAGGGAAGAAAAUGACGGUACCUGACUAAGAAGCCCCGGCUAACUACGUGCCAGCAGCCGC
This 497-nucleotide ribosomal RNA is filed under the name uncultured bacterium. Its description in RNAcentral is "bacterial SSU rRNA". It matches the Rfam family "Bacterial small subunit ribosomal RNA", at positions 19 to 518 of the family's 1533-position model. The record is from RNAcentral.